This is a long non-coding RNA of Hermetia illucens (black soldier fly), 1327 nucleotides long. RefSeq lists it as uncharacterized. The record is from RefSeq and is a predicted model, not a curated record. Lineage: Eukaryota; Metazoa; Arthropoda; Insecta; Diptera; Stratiomyidae. The transcript has 2 exons.
UUUCGAGAGAUUAGAGAAUAUAAAGUUUCAGUUUCAGCCAUCUGAACCAGACUUGUUAUGGAAUAGCUAAUACUUCAAUUGUGGUUGUAGUAAAUAUUAGCCACUAGAUCAAGAGGUUGAACUACAAAUUGAGAUGUAAAAUAUUAAUCUCAAAUGCCUGGACGACUUCAGGAGCCCACACAACCUCCAGUGAUUGGUUUUAGGCGCAGACAAAAAGACCGUUAAGGAGUUUCAGGCAACGGAAAGCUCGUCAUCGCUGGUACCUUGUUCGGGUCGAGUUACACGAAGUCAGGGAUGAUGAAAUGGCCUAGAAAUUGCACCUGUGAUUAGAGAAAUUUAAUUUUUUCUACGUUGAGAACUAGGCCACUGUUAAGGAAGCGUUGACAAAUGCGAGAUGCAAAUCUCGGAUUCGGUGGAGAAGACGAUCGGAACAUCAAGUAGACGAAACAGAGGUCCAAGUUUCGUAGUACAGAAUCUCUGGAUGGUUUGUGCAGAUAUGCAAAGACCUAAAGUUAUUCCUGUGAACUCGAAGAGUCUGAAAGUGUGCAAGUUGCUGCGAGAUUUGGUGGAAUGUCUUGGCGAGAUCAUCGGUCGAGAAAGCACGAAAGUUUGCUAAGUAAUGCACAAAGUCUCGGAUGAGAGUGAUCGGGUACCGGUGGGGAACCGUAUGCGCAUUCAGGCGUCUGUAAUCUCUACAAGACCGCCAUUAGGCUUUGGGACCAAAUGGAGUGGAGAUGACCAACAGUUGUUGGAAGACCUUGCUAAAGAAGUUGUUCAAACUCUUUCUGCGCAACAGCGAGCUUCUGGGGUGAGAAAGGACGUAGCUUUGAGAAGACGGGGAAGCCAGUGGUGUUACUGUAGCGGUUAACAUCAUGGUUAAUAUAACUGGCUGAGAUAUACUAACCAUUACGUUAUGUUGCCAUGUUAAAGUAAAUUUGCUCCACACGUUUUCUCCAAUUCAAUAUUCCUAAAUUUUCCAUAACUAAGCCCGUCAUUUUUACAUGUCAUUUAAAAGCUAACGUAAUGAGUCAAAUUUUGCCAACUUUGCAGUUUUGUAAAUUUAAAGCACCGCUACAAUAAUGCAUAUUGGAAUUUGGAUAAAAAUCCGAUUCUGAAAUUUCCUUGAACUUUGAACAGUUAUAUUUUCGAAGUGAUGAUGAUCUUUGCAAUUGAAAAAAUAUACAUUUAUAAGAAAUUUUAUAUAGCUUCCGAAAAUGGUACCAAAUCUGGGAUGAAAUGAUUAAAGGAAUGGGUAAUUGUGAUUUUUUGACACUAUUCACGAAAGCGGUAAAACUCUGUAACAAUAAAAGAUAGAAUCCUCAUUCCA